Molecule: ribosomal RNA, 543 nt
Filed under: Sphingomonas sp. 86(2005)
Lineage: Bacteria; Pseudomonadati; Pseudomonadota; Alphaproteobacteria; Sphingomonadales; Sphingomonadaceae
Description: bacterial SSU rRNA
Rfam family: Bacterial small subunit ribosomal RNA
Source: RNAcentral
GAGUUUGAUCCUGGUUCAGAACGAACGCUGGCGGCAUGCCUAACACAUGCAAGUCGAACGAGACCUUCGGGUCUAGUGGCGCACGGGUGCGUAACGCGUGGGAAUCUGCCCUUGGGUUCGGAAUAACUCGCCGAAAGGCGUGCUAAUACCGGAUGAUGUCGUAAGACCAAAGAUUUAUCGCCCAGGGAUGAGCCCGCGUAAGAUUAGGUAGUUUGUGAGGUAAAGGCUCACCAAGCCGACGAUCUUUAGCUGGUCUGAGAGGAUGAUCAGCCACACUGGGACUGAGACACGGCCCAGACUCCUACGGGAGGCAGCAGUGGGGAAUAUUGGACAAUGGGCGAAAGCCUGAUCCAGCAAUGCCGCGUGAGUGAUGAAGGCCUUAGGGUUGUAAAGCUCUUUUACCCGGGAUGAUAAUGACAGUACCGGGAGAAUAAGCUCCGGCUAACUCCGUGCCAGCAGCCGCGGUAAUACGGAGGGAGCUAGCGUUGUUCGGAAUUACUGGGCGUAAAGCGCACGUAGGCGGCUUUGUAAGUCAGAGGUGAA